This 468-nucleotide ribosomal RNA is filed under the name uncultured bacterium. RNAcentral describes it as "partial 16S ribosomal RNA". It matches the Rfam family "Bacterial small subunit ribosomal RNA", at positions 28 to 507 of the family's 1533-position model. The record is from RNAcentral.
GACGAACGCUGGCGGCGUGCUUAACACAUGCAAGUCGAACGGAAAGGCCCUGCUUUUGUGGGGUGCUCGAGUGGCGAACGGGUGAGUAACACGUGAGUAACCUGCCCUUGACUUUGGGAUAACUUCAGGAAACUGGGGCUAAUACCGGAUAGGAGCUCCUGCUGCAUGGUGGGGGUUGGAAAGUUUCGGCGGUUGGGGAUGGACUCGCGGCUUAUCAGCUUGUUGGUGGGGUAGUGGCUUACCAAGGCUUUGACGGGUAGCCGGCCUGAGAGGGUGACCGGCCACAUGGGGACUGAGAGACGGCCCAGACUCCUACGGGAGGCAGCAGGGGGGAAUAUUGCACAAUGGGCGGAAGCCUGAGGCAGCAACGCCGCGUGCGGGAUGACGGCCUUCGGGUUGUAAACCGAUUUCGCCUGUGACGAAGCGUGAGUGACGGUAAUGGGUAAAGAAGCACCGGCUAACUACGUG